AGAAGAAGAAGCGUUGUUACAGUGCGCAUGCGCGUGAGCUGAGGCAGAAACCUGCUGGCGCCAAAUUUGGAGACUACUGGAAUAACUGCUGCCAUGUGGACUUUACUCAAACUGAACAAAAUGAAGAUACGAGUGGAAACAUCUGUACAGUGUUGGACUAUAUAACACAUAUACAUGACUGUCAUAAGGACUUUUGAUAACAAACAGUAGAUGGCAGCAUUACGUCAUUGAAGUGACUAGUCCGUCGAAUCCGAAGAGGAAGAAGUUUGGUAUAUCUUUCAAGUGGCGUCUUUCUCCAACCGAGGAGAGGAGCACGAUGUCGUCGCUGACUCUGCACGGGGUGACGGUGGACUUCCCCUUUCCCCCGUACGACUGUCAGAAGGUCUACAUGAGCAAAGUGAUCGAAUGUCUCCAGAAGAAGGUGAACGGGGUCCUGGAGAGUCCCACUGGCACAGGUAAAACCCUGUGCCUGCUGUGUGCCACCCUGGCCUGGAGGGAGCACUUCAAGGACACCAUCUCCGCCCGCAAGAUAUCGGAGAGGCUGGGUGGGGAGAUGUUCCCAAACACGCCGCUGUCAUCCUGGGGAUCAGCUGCUACGGACGGCGACACGCCAACGUACUACACCGAUGUCCCCAAGAUCAUAUACGCCUCCAGGACACACUCUCAGCUCGCACAGGUUAUCAAUGAGUUGAAAAACACUUCGUUCAGGCCAAAGGUGUGUGUGCUGGGGUCAAGAGAGCAGCUGUGUAUCAACCAGGAAGUGAUGCGUCAAGAGAGCAACCAUGUCAAGGUCCACAUGUGCAGAGGAAAAGUCUCCACCAGGUCGUGUAUCUACUACAAUAAUGUUGAUGAGAAGAGCACUGACAGAGACUUGGUGGAAUCCAUCCUUGACGUGGAAGACUUGGUCAAAUUCGGCAACAAACAGAAGGUCUGUCCUUACUAUCUCUCACGUUCCUUGAAGCAGCAAGCAGAUGUCAUUUUCAUGCCCUACAACUACCUGCUGGAUCCAAAGAGCCGCAGAGCUCACAACAUUGAGCUGAAUGGAGCUGUGGUCAUUUUUGAUGAAGCUCAUAAUGUGGAAAAGACGUGUGAAGAGGCGACAUCGUUUGACCUGACUCCGUAUGACGUGGCCUCAGCUAUUAGUGCUGUGGACCGGCUGCUGGCGGAACAAGCUGAAAACGCCAGCCACGGAGACUCUGUCACCGAAGACUUCAACGUAGAAUCCCUCAACUCUGGUUUAAAAAUGGAUAUAACCACCAUUGCUAAAAUCAAACAGAUUCUGCUGGAUCUGGAAGCUGCAAUCGAUUCAUAUGAUGUUCCGAGUGACAAAGGCAUCACGAAACCUGGAAUCUUCAUCUAUGAGCUGUUGGAGAGAGUUCACCUGACCUACAGCAGCAAGACGGCUGUCUACGAAGCCCUGGAGCAGAUCAGCGGAUACUUAGCCGGCCAGACGGGAAUAUUCCUGAACACAAGUGGAUUGCAGAAGCUAGGAGACAUCAUACAGUUGGUGUUCUGCGGUGAGCCAUCAGAAAAGGACCGACAACAGCAGAUGCAGUCCAACACUGCUCAUUUCAAGGUUCAUAUCCACAGAGACAACAGCUUUCAAAAGAAAAAACAGAGCGCUGAUGUGUGGGCUUCAUCCUCAUCCAAGAAACAAGGCAACAUUCUCAGUUACUGGUGCUUCUCCCCUGGCUUCAGCAUGCAGGAUCUGGUGAAUCAAGGUGUUCGCUGCAUCAUUCUGACGAGUGGGACCCUCUCUCCCCUGUCCUCGUUCACUUCUGAGAUGAGGAUAGAGUUCCCCGUGUGCCUAGAGAACGGCCACGUGAUAGAGCGGGACCAGAUCUUCGUCAGCGUCAUUGAGCGAGGCCCAGAUGGAGUGCAACUCAGUUCAGCAUUUGAUAGAAGGUUUGUUCCUGAAAACAUGGCAUCUUUAGGCAACACUGUCGCCAACCUGAGCCGUGUGGUUCCCCAUGGCCUCUUGGUGUUUUUUCCCUCCUUCCCGUUAAUGGAAAAAACCCUGGACUUCUGGAGAGCCAACGGACAUGCAGACCGCAUUGAAAACAUAAAGCCUAUGUUUGUUGAAACCAAAGGAAAGGGCACCUUCACUGAGACUAUGGACGGUUAUUACAACAAAGUCAGCGAUCCAGCGUCCAAAGGGGGAACCUUCUUUGCUGUGUGUCGAGGGAAGGCCAGCGAGGGUCUGGAUUUUGCAGACAACUUUGGUCGGGGUGUCAUCAUCACCGGCCUUCCCUUCCCUCCAAGGAUGGACCCUCGGGUCAUCCUGAAGAUGCAGUUCUUGGAUGAGAUGAGCCGGAGGAAAACCCCUGGGGUAAAGUACCUGUCUGGGCAGGAUUGGUACCGACAGCAGGCUUUCAGAGCUGUGAACCAGGCCAUCGGUCGAGUCAUUCGCCAUAAGGAGGACUAUGGAGCCAUCUUCCUAUGUGAUCACAGGUUUAGAGGCUCUGAUGCCCGGGCUCAACUGCCGUCGUGGGUGAGGCCUUAUGUACGCCUGUACGACGGCUUCGGGAAUGUGGUCCGUGACGUCUCUCAGUUCUUCAGGGUUGCACAGAAAAUGAGGCCUGUGGUGGAGAAGAAGAAGACGGCUGCAACAGAGAGCUGUGGCACUUUGAGUUCACCAGGCCCUCAGUCCUCUGGCGUCACUUCCAGCGUAUCCUCCCAAAGCUCCCACCCGCAGAAGGCCAAGGUGCUGGACUCUCACCUUCCUAGCAUGAAGCGGAGGAGGCUCAAUGAACACGCCGGAGGCAGUGGGAUGGCCAGGAUCUGUAUCGAGUACGAGUGUGAGCUACAGGAGAGUCAGAGGAGACCAGCCAACCUGUUGGACGCUCUGGAGCGAGGCGACCACCGCGGUGGAGAGGACGACGAUGCUGCUGUGGGAGAGGAGAAGGCAAACCGUUUGUCCACACUGUCUAUUCAACAUGACAAGAGGAUGGAUGAUGAAUUGCGGGGAGGAAAGCGUAAAAUCAAGUUGGUCCAGGAGCAGAAAAUCCGUGUGUCGGAGGAUGCGUCUGGGGAAGGUAAAGCCGGCAGAGCCAAGACGUUCCUGGCAGAGAUGAAGAAGUCGCUGAGCCGGGUGAACUUCGACCACAUCGUGCAGGCUCUGCAGACCUACAAGAAGACGGACGACCUGGAUGUCCUGCUGACUGAGACGUCUGUCCUGACUGAGGACACCAACACUCACGGUCUGCUCCGUGGCUUCUACCAGUUUGUCCGGCCUCAUCACAAGAAGAGGUUUGACGAGAGAUGUGCAGAGCAGACAGGGCAGGGCUGCGGAUACAAGCCGGACCACUCACUGUCCAAGGACGAGAAGAAGACUCUGAUGGAGCACAGUGACAGUGGGACAUCCACCUGCAGUCAGCUGAACACAGAGCAGCUAAACAAAGGGGGACACCACCUGAACCAGCAAGGACUGAGAGAACCUCAAAGUGCUUCUGCUCCAAAGAACGAGGCCCAUGCCGCUUUUCUUGCCGAUGUGAAAAAAGUCCUGGGAGCAGAAAAAUCCACUCGACUCUUUCAGACCAUUCACAACUACAAGAAGACAGACAACUUUGAACAUCUGGUGACCACGGUGGUGAGCUUGUUCACAGAGAGAGACGAGGACUUCAGCCUUCUGGUCCGAUUUGGCGUGUUCAUUCGCCCUCACCAUAAGAAGCAGUACAAAGAGAUGUUGGAUUCUUUGAUUGGUCGGCCAGUGUGAUCCUGCUGAUGUGAGCGAAGACCUGCAAAGAAAAGCUGUGACGACUCGAGGACAGAUUUUUUUUCUCGAGCAGCCAGAGGAAGUAGAAUCUGAGAUACAGCACGGUGGUGGUUGUGUUUCACACAUUUCCUAAUGACUCUUACUGCUGAGGAGCGUGGAGUCGCUCUGCCAUCUGGCACUGAACUGAUGGACCAGUCACUGUUGGAGCCUGUGGCUCCUGACGACAUGACACUGUUCUCCUCUACAUGAAGCAGAGUUUGUUCUGCGACUCCAGCAUGCUGCCAGCUGAUUGGUCGACGCGGGGUCGUUACUAAGACAAGCUGAUGCUAUGUUUUCAUAAGCUGUGAGGUUUGAUCAAAGGAGGCAAAGUACAUGGCAGAACAAUGUAGGCUUUUCAUGGAUCUGAUGUUUUCUGGUGUGAACUACAUUUCACCCCACUCGGACAGAUUGACCGACUAGUGGGAGCCAGGGGGCUGACACGAUUUGAGGCAGUUGCUUGUUUAAUUGAUUCAAUUUCAGUUUUAUUUAUAUAGCACCAGAUCACAACAUACAUCGUCUCAAGGCGCUUAACAUUACAACAUCACAGAGAAACUCAACAGUUCCCACAGUGAGCAGCUCUGAGUCUGUGGUGGUAUCUCCUCCUGUCGUCUCCCUUGCAUCUGCCUGUAGUGUAGGAAGAAGCUAAGAGACAAUCGUAUGAAAACUGAAUGUAGCAUUCAAUAAAGGAUUCCUUUGGAGAUUAAUGAACCGAGGACGUUUCUCAACUUGGAGCUGGAUUUGAAAUGAAAGUGUCUUGCACUUCGUCCCCACGUAUGUCUGCAGCUUCUGCUCGAAGAGAUGAAGACGAAGACUCUUUUCUGUCCUAAAUAUUCAUAAGCAUGUGUAACUAAAUAAUCAGGAUCAGUCAUUAAUGUGGAACUUCAGUGGCAUGGUGAGGGAUGUAGUAACCUUCGUCACGGGUUGAUGACCAUUAUUAUAAUGACCAUCAUUUUACUCACUAUUACAGAGAAACACAACAGUACCAUUACAUUACAGCAGCAAAGUGGGCAAAAGAAUAUAUAAGAAAUUUCCAAAAAGGGUUAGUAUGUACAAA
Molecule: RNA transcript, 4808 nt
Organism: Scophthalmus maximus (turbot)
Lineage: Eukaryota; Metazoa; Chordata; Actinopteri; Pleuronectiformes; Scophthalmidae
Gene: rtel1
Gene name: regulator of telomere elongation helicase 1
Exons: 34
Source: RefSeq, a predicted model, not a curated record